AACGAACGCUGGCGGCAUGCCUAACACAUGCAAGUCGAACGAGACCUUCGGGUCUAGUGGCGCACGGGUGCGUAACGCGUGGGAACCUGCCCUUAGGUUCGGAAUGACUCCCCGAAAGGGGUGCUAAUACCGGAUAAUGUCUUCGGACCAAAGAUUUAUCGCCUUUGGAUGGGCCCGCGUUGGAUUAGCUAGUUGGUAGGGUAAAAGCCUACCAAGGCGACGAUCCAUAGCUGGUCUGAGAGGAUGAUCAGCCACACUGGGACUGAGACACGGCCCAGACUCCUACGGGAGGCAGCAGCGGGGAAUAUUGGACAAUGGGCGAAAGCCUGAUCCAGCAAUGCCGCGUGAGUGAUGAAGGCCUUAGGGUUGUAAAGCUCUUUUACCCGGGAUGAUAAUGACAGUACCGGGAGAAUAAGCUCCGGCUAACUCCGUG
RNAcentral lists this ribosomal RNA (433 nucleotides) under uncultured bacterium. Its description in RNAcentral is "partial 16S ribosomal RNA". It matches the Rfam family "Bacterial small subunit ribosomal RNA", at positions 29 to 507 of the family's 1533-position model. The record is from RNAcentral.